This 31-nucleotide non-coding RNA is filed under the name Homo sapiens (human). The record is from RNAcentral. Lineage: Eukaryota; Metazoa; Chordata; Mammalia; Primates; Hominidae.
UGCCGUCACUACCUGUAAACAAUGAGGCCAU